AAUCAACGCUGGCGGCGUGCCUAACACAUGCAAGUCGAACGCGAAAGCCCCGCAAGGGGUAAGUAGAGUGGCAAACGGGUGAGUAACACGUGGGUGACCUGCCUUCGAGUGGGGAUAACGUCCCGAAAGGGACGCUAAUACCGCAUGACAUCCUGCUUUUGAAAAAGCGGAGAUCAAAGCUGGGGAUCGCAAGACCUAGCGCUUGAAGAGGGGCCCGCGCCUGAUUAGCUAGUUGGUGAGGUAACGGCUCACCAAGGCGACGAUCAGUAUCCGGCCUGAGAGGGCGGACGGACACACUGGGACUGAGACACGGCCCAGACUCCUACGGGAGGCAGCAGUGGGGAAUUGUUCGCAAUGGGCGCAAGCCUGACGACGCAACGCCGCGUGGAGGACGAAGAUCUUCGGGUCGUAAACUCCUGUCGAGCGGGACGAACGCUUCGCGGAUGAAUAAUCCGCGGAAUUGACGGUACCGCUAAAGGAAGCCCCGGCUAACUCCGUG
This 499-nucleotide ribosomal RNA is filed under the name uncultured bacterium. Its description in RNAcentral is "partial 16S ribosomal RNA". It matches the Rfam family "Bacterial small subunit ribosomal RNA", at positions 32 to 507 of the family's 1533-position model. The record is from RNAcentral.